AGUGAACGCUGGCGGUAGGCCUAACACAUGCAAGUCGAACGGCAGCACAGUAAGAGCUUGCUCUUACGGGUGGCGAGUGGCGGACGGGUGAGGAAUACAUCGGAAUCUACUUUUUCGUGGGGGAUAACGUAGGGAAACUUACGCUAAUACCGCAUACGACCUACGGGUGAAAGCAGGGGAUCUUCGGACCUUGCGCGAUUGAAUGAGCCGAUGUCGGAUUAGCUAGUUGGCGGGGUAAAGGCCCACCAAGGCGACGAUCCGUAGCUGGUCUGAGAGGAUGAUCAGCCACAGUGGAACUGAGACACGGUCCAGACUCCUACGGGAGGCAGAAGUGGGGAAUAUAGGAAAAUGGGCGCAAGACUGAUCAAGCCAUACCGCGUGGGUGAAGAAGGCCUUCGGGUUGUAAAGCCCUUUUGUUGGGAAAGAAAAGCAGCAGGUUAAAACCCCGCUGUUCGGACGGUACCCAAAGAAUAAGCACCGGCUAACUUCGU
This 491-nucleotide ribosomal RNA is filed under the name uncultured bacterium. RNAcentral's name for it is "partial 16S ribosomal RNA". It matches the Rfam family "Bacterial small subunit ribosomal RNA", at positions 29 to 506 of the family's 1533-position model. The record is from RNAcentral.